This 744-nucleotide ribosomal RNA is filed under the name uncultured bacterium. RNAcentral describes it as "bacterial SSU rRNA". It matches the Rfam family "Bacterial small subunit ribosomal RNA", at positions 61 to 825 of the family's 1533-position model. The record is from RNAcentral.
GUCGCACGGAGAAAGAUAGUUUACUAGCUUUUCUGAGUGGCGCACGGGUGAGUAACACGUGAGCAACCUGCCUCUUAGUGGGGGAUAGCCCUGGGAAACCGGGAUUAAUACCGCAUAUCAUCGCAAGAUGAAAGCAGCAAUGCGCUAAGAGAGGGGCUCGCGGCCUAUUAGUUAGUUGGUGAGGUAACGGCUCACCAAGGCGAUGACGGGUAGCCGGUCUGAGAGGAUGUCCGGCCACACUGGAACUGAGACACGGUCCAGACACCUACGGGUGGCAGCAGUCGAGAAUCAUUCACAAUGGGGGAAACCCUGAUGGUGCGACGCCGCGUGGGGGAAGAAGGUCUUCGGAUUGUAAACCCCUGUCAUGUGGGAGCAAGCUAGCAAUAGUUGAUAGUACCACAAGAGGAAGAGACGGCUAACUCUGUGCCAGCAGCCGCGGUAAUACAGAGGUCUCAAGCGUUGUUCGGAAUCACUGGGCGUAAAGGGUACGUAGGCUGUACCAUAAGUCGGGCGUGAAAGGCAGGGGCUCAACCUCUGGAGUGCGCUUGAUACUGUGGUACUUGAGUCAUGGAGGGGGAACCGGAACUCUCGGUGUAGCAGUGAAAUGCGUAGAUAUCGAGAAGAACACUCGUGGCGAAGGCGGGUUCCUGGACAUGUACUGACGCUGAGGUACGAAGGCUAGGGGAGCGAAAGGGAUUAGAUACCCCUGUAGUCCUAGCAGUAAACGGUGCACGCUUGGUGUGU